This 506-nucleotide ribosomal RNA is filed under the name uncultured Actinomycetes bacterium. RNAcentral's name for it is "bacterial SSU rRNA". It matches the Rfam family "Bacterial small subunit ribosomal RNA", at positions 399 to 896 of the family's 1533-position model. The record is from RNAcentral. Lineage: Bacteria; Bacillati; Actinomycetota; Actinomycetes.
GCGUGAGGGAAGACGGCCUUCGGGUUGUAAACCUCUUUCAGGAGGGACGAAGCUACUCGGGUGAAUAGCCCAGAGGGUGACGGUACCUCCAGAAGAAGCCCCCGGCUAACUACGUGCCAGCAGCCGCGGUAAUACGUAGGGGGCAAGCGUUGUCCGGAUUUACUGGGCGUAAAGAGCGUGUAGGCGGCCAAACAGGUCUGUUGUGAAGACUGGAGGCUCAACCUCCAGACGUCGACAGAAACCGUCUGGCUAGAGUCCGGAAGAGGAGAGUGGAAUUCCUGGUGUAGCGGUGAAAUGCGCAGAUAUCAGGAAGAACACCGAUGGCGAAGGCAGCUCUCUGGGACGGUACUGACGCUGAGACGCGAAAGCGUGGGGAGCGAACAGGAUUAGAUACCCUGGUAGUCCACGCCGUAAACGAUGGGUGCUAGGUGUGGGAGGUGUCGACUCCUUCCGUGCCGCAGCUAACGCAUUAAGCACCCCGCCUGGGGAGUACGGCCGCAAGGCUA